GGAAUUGUUCGCAAUGGGCGCAAGCCUGACGACGCAACGCCGCGUGGAGGAUGAAGGUCUUCGGAUUGUAAACUCCUGUUGCCAGGGACGAAAAGCUUCGACCUAACACGUCGAAGUCUGACGGUACCGGGCGAGGAAGCCCCGGCGACUUCUGUGCCAGCAGCCGCGGUAAUACAGAGGGGGCAAGCGUUGUUCGGAAUUACUGGGCGUAAAGGGCGCGUAGGCGGCCUGUUAAGUCGAACGUGAAAUCCCCGGGCUCAACCCGGGAACUGCGUCCGAGACUGAUAGGCUCGAAUCCGGGAGAGGGAUGUGGAAUUCCAGGUGUAGCGGUGAAAUGCGUAGAUAUCUGGAGGAACACCGGUGGCGAAGGCGACAUCCUGGACCGGUAUUGACGCUGAGGCGCGAAAGCCAGGGGAGCAAA
This 421-nucleotide ribosomal RNA is filed under the name uncultured bacterium. RNAcentral's name for it is "bacterial SSU rRNA". It matches the Rfam family "Bacterial small subunit ribosomal RNA", at positions 358 to 772 of the family's 1533-position model. The record is from RNAcentral.